Molecule: non-coding RNA, 2681 nt
Organism: Bactrocera oleae (olive fruit fly)
Lineage: Eukaryota; Metazoa; Arthropoda; Insecta; Diptera; Tephritidae
Source: RefSeq, a predicted model, not a curated record
UGAGAAAUUUAGUCAGGACAUAAUUCUUUUCUUAUGACAAGACUGACAGUCCCCAUGUCAGAAAUUUUAAAUAAAACAUAUGUGUGUUAUAAAGUCGUAAAAAAAAUCUAAAAACGCUAAAACCUCGAUAGGAAAACUUGUAUUGCACUAAUAUCGGAAUAACAUCACGAUCUGCACCACAGAAACUUAGUCAAACGACUAGUAAAGGAGGUACAGCAAAAACACAUAAUUUCCUACUUCAACAAAGUUGAUAAAAAAAGCUCGGAGGUCGUGAUAAAAAAAAAAUAGGAAAAUUUCAAGCAAUAGCUGUCCAAAUUUUCCAAAUAAACAAAAUUUAUUAUGUUUAAAUCUAGGGUCUAUAUUGUUAAAUACGUACACGAUAAUUGCUUUAAAUCGAGUAUUACUUUGCCCCUCGCUUAUAAAAGCACAGACCUAUUCUAUUUAUAUUAUUAUUGCAGUUGAAGAAAAAAUACCGGCCAAUGAAUAUAUACAUAUGUAUAUGCUAGCUUAUAAAAUUUUUUUACUCAUUUUUUUUUUGCAAAUGCAACUUUCCGUUCGCUAUAAAAGCAACUACACAGCAAAAACACAAUUUUUUUAUUCUCAGAAAAUAUGUAUAAAAUAUUAAGAGCGCACCUACCUAAGUAAACAACAUGUGCAAGUGACGCAAAAAGCUUUACUCAAAAAACCGCGCCUAAGUGAUAUUAAUUCGACCUGCAGCCAAGACCUGACUUCAAUGCAGUCACAAGCGACAUCUCUCAUUGAAUAUUAACGCUAAUUCUUUGCAAUGUCUUGCAUUUUUUAAUUGCAAAGCUCUUUUAUGGGCACACAGAAAAGCUUCAAAUGGAUAACUUUGAAAAUAUUUAAGUAUUUAUAAUCAAACUAGAAUACUCGGUGCAACAUGUUGUUCAGUGGUCUAGAGGUUUUUUCUAUUUUAAUACAAAUAUAUUUGAUAACUUAAUGAGGCUACGAAGAAGCCAAAAAGGAGGAAAUGGAGUCCUAAUCGGUACCAAUAUAAGUAUAAAUUUCAUCACUAAAGACCUAGGGACCUAAACUUAAAUGAAGUUUAGAUUUUGGUUAGACCAUUAACUCCCAUGUGGGUUUUGUUACAAUUCCAUAAAUAAAGGUGUUACAAGAAUUAAUUCGAACAGCUGUUAGAUUUUAUGAGAAGUUUUUUCUUGACAACAAGAGACGCGAAAGUUUGAAACAUUGACAUUGAACUGUCAAAAGAUAACAGCUGUAAGAUAAAUCCGUUUGAAUGAUCUUCGAAAAUUAGAAUCGAACCACGUAACCAUUGUGAGCGAUUUAAAGGAAUAAGAGCAAAGUUUAAAGUAAGUUCUUUGAGUGUCCACAAAACAAGUAGACAAAUGCAUAUAAGUUUAUAUUGGCAUAGAAAGCUGUACAAUAAAAUACUAGUCCUCGUACAAUGUCAGUUAUGGAGUUUCGAUUUCGAAAACUUUGCUACCGCUACUGAUAAUGGAAACACAUAGAAUUAUCUAGGCCAACUGUUUAGCCAUCUAGUGAACGCUCCCCUAAAUAAGAGCUUAUUAAAGUUUUUUGCAAAAAAGCGAGUAUUAUAUUCUACAAGGCCUGCAUUUCGUAAGUUCGGUUCAUCCUUUUAUCACGUAUAUAAAACAUUCAAAUACAGCAGUUUUCACAUUGUGUAUAUGUAAGUAUGUACAGCUGUCCAGAAAAUAAUAGCAGUGCUAAUAUGAAAAAUGUAAUGGCAUUGACACAACUUUUCUGGAUCGCAUGUGAAUGCCGAGGUACAAUUGCGGCUACACAUAAUGGGAUACUGUCAUUAAAAUACGAAACAAAUUUUUAGUGUAAUGAUCGUUAUUCUCGUUUUGCUAGUUUUCGGAAACCCUUAUUUGUUUCUACAAAAACAGGGGUGUUAGACAUUUCCUUUUUAAAAUAAUAUUUAGCCUAAAAAAUAUUCGCAAAAUUAGAAAAGUAAGUAUAGUUCCAGUUAUCAGUUAAUACUGAUACUCUUAGUAGGCGAUUUUCCCAAGAAAGGCGAUUACAAGUCCCGUAUACAAAAAAAAAGCAUGUCUUUUGGCGCGUGGCCAAAUUGCAAAAUAUAUUGUGGUCAUAUGAAUGCAAAAUUGAAUUAUUUUCUAGUAAAAGUUCAGAAGACUUUGUUCGACGUCCCCCUAAACGGUCAAACAUGGUGGCGCUAAAAUCAUAGUAAGGGGGGGUAACUUUUCACAAAGUGGAGUUAGUCCAAUUCUCUUGAUUGCAGUCGUCAUGGAUCAAGUGGCAUAUGUCAAAAUAUUAGACGUGGUAAUGUCUAUAUGACUGAUGGAACAAAUAAUUAUACACAUAGACACUAUUUCCAGGAGUUGACAGUGAAACUCUCGGUUUGUUCACAUGAAAGUCCGUUCUACAAAACCCGAAUAGACGCGUAUUUUUACCCAGCAAAUGACUGCCAACUGGACAAACUUUCUCAAAAUAAUUGGCGAAAUGCUUUCCGCAGCUACAACUUCAACAACAACAUUGAUCCCAUGACAACAGGCUCUUCAUACAAAACUGGAAUAGACCUGGACUUAUAUAUGUAUCUAAAUUUUAACAACAAACACAUGAUGGUGGAAUUUGAGUGAAUCAAAGCUCUAUGUUUUAGCUGUCCACAUAUGUAUGAAUGAAAACAAAUAUAUACAUAUAAUAAAAUAAAGAUCUCUUAUGUA